Molecule: ribosomal RNA, 497 nt
Filed under: uncultured bacterium
Lineage: Bacteria
Description: partial 16S ribosomal RNA
Rfam family: Bacterial small subunit ribosomal RNA
Source: RNAcentral
GAUGAACGCUGGCGGCGUGCCUAAUACAUGCAAGUCGAGCGAACAGACGAGGAGCUUGCUCCUCUGCCGUUAGCGGCGGACGGGUGAGUAACACGUGGAUAACCUACCUCUAAUACUGGGAUAACUUCGGGAAACCGGAGCUAAUAACGGAUCAUAUAUUGAACCGGAGGGUUCAAUAGAUCAACACGGUUUUGCUGUCACUUAUAGCUGAAUCCGCGCCGGAUUAGCUAGUUGGUAAGGUAACGGCUUACCAAGGCAACGAAGCGUAGCCGACCUGAGAGGAUGAUCGGCCACACUGGAACUGAGACACGGUCCAGACUCCUACGGGAGGCAGCAGUAGGGAAUCUUCCGCAAUGGGCGAAAGCCUGACGGAGCAACGCCGCGUGAGUGAUGAAGGCCUUCGGAUCGUAAAGCUCUGUUAUUAGGGAAGAACAAAUGUGUAUGUAACUAUGCACGCCUUGACGGUACCUAAUCAGAAAGCCACGGCUAACUACGUG